Molecule: long non-coding RNA, 1210 nt
Filed under: Panax ginseng (ginseng)
Lineage: Eukaryota; Viridiplantae; Streptophyta; Magnoliopsida; Apiales; Araliaceae
Description: long non-coding RNA (PGIN_LNC006042)
Source: RNAcentral
ACUGAUAAAAAGCUCAUUAAUGGGUAGUUCUGAUUAGCCUAAGGUAAUUAAGGACUGUCCGAGUCAGAUUUUAUUUUCGUCAUGCUAGAGUCUUUUGAUCCUUUACUGCACUUGUGUCUUAUUCUUAAUGCUUGUUAAAUGUUUAAGUUACAGAGUGUGCAUAUUAGUAUUAUCAAUCGACUGUGAAAACUUAAUUGAGCUAUGAUUAGUUAGGACGGUUGGUCUACACACACAAACAUAGAAUGGAUCGAAUACAGUCUUAUGCUUGAAAUAGAAAGAACCCUUACUCAUGUUUGUGUUUGCCUUGUUCUCUGGGAGUUGCUAUGAUUGAGAUUUGUAGCAAUGAUGCUAGUAUAUAGUUUUAUAUUCCUUUCGCGUGUUAAUUUACUACUGUUAUUUUUUAUGUUAGACAGUUUUCUCGAGGACAAGUAAAGACUUAAGUCUGGAGGUAUUUGAUGAGUGGGAUUUAUACCCGCGAAUCAGAUACUUUAUGACUUAAAUAAUUGCAUGAAUUCAUAGAUUUUAUAUAGUUUUAAAUGAUUAUAGUGUUAUUGCGCUUAAUCGAUGGAUUGCAGGGCUUUACAGGACUUUUCUAGCUUUAAGGGGGCAAAUUCGACAUUUCAAAUACACUGGCGCCGCAGCGCCAAUUCCUAUUGUUAUUCUCGCGCCGCGGCACCGCCCCCUAGUCCAACCUGACGUCAGCAUGGCGCUACAGCGCCACUGAUGCCUCUUUGACUCGCGUUGCAGCGCGAGCUCUGUGUCUUUAAUACUAAUUUGGCGCUGCAACGCCAACCACAUGUUAUUUGUCCGCGCCGCGGCGCCACCUCCGGUGCCCAGGCAGAGAAGGCCUUGGCUUGACCUAGCAAAGGACAGACACGGAUAUAUAAGGAAAGAAAGCCUCUGCAGAAAGGGAUCUCUCAUAUAUAUGAGAUCAGAUAACACAUAUCAGAGGAUAAUAUUAGCAUAUCUUAGAUAGUUUUAGUUUUUCUUCUUCUGUAUUUUCUCUUUCUAGCUCAUAGUUAAUAUCUGUAAAUAUAGAUUAGGGAGAAGUUUGGGAUUUUCUUGGAGCAACACGAGCAGUGAGCUACACAGUUUAUUCUCAUCCAUUUAUUCCCUCUGAUUUUAUAAUUCAUAAAUGUUGUCUUUAUUGCUACUUAUAUUUUGUUCAAUAGCUAUGAACUGAGUAUUUGCUCUAAGGUUAUAAUGGAAC